This 253-nucleotide ribosomal RNA is filed under the name uncultured bacterium. Its description in RNAcentral is "partial 16S ribosomal RNA". It matches the Rfam family "Bacterial small subunit ribosomal RNA", at positions 524 to 776 of the family's 1533-position model. The record is from RNAcentral.
UACGUAGGGUGCAAGCGUUGUCCGGAAUUAUUGGGCGUAAAGAGCUCGUAGGCGGUCUGUCGCGUCGGCUGUGAAAUCCCGAGGCUCAACCUCGGGUCUGCAGUCGAUACGGGCAAACUGGAGUGUUGCAGGGGAGACUGGAAUUCCUGGUGUAGCGGUGAAAUGCGCAGAUAUCAGGAGGAACACCGGUGGCGAAGGCAGGUCUCUGGGCAACAACUGACGCUGAGGAGCGAAAGCGUGGGGAGCGAACAGG